ACGGGAUCCCUGGCAGCUUGCUGCCGGGGUGAGAGUGGCGAACGGGUGAGUAAUGCGUGACCGACCUGCCCCAUGCACCGGAAUAGCUCCUGGAAACGGGUGGUAAUGCCGGAUGUUCCACAUGAGCGCAUGCGAGUGUGGGAAAGGCUUUUUGCGGCAUGGGAUGGGGUCGCGUCCUAUCAGCUUGUUGGUGGGGUAACGGCCUACCAAGGCGUUGACGGGUAGCCGGCCUGAGAGGGCGACCGGCCACAUUGGGACUGAGAUACGGCCCAGACUCCUACGGGAGGCAGCAGUGGGGAAUAUUGCACAAUGGGCGCAAGCCUGAUGCAGCGACGCCGCGUGCGGGAUGGAGGCCUUCGGGUUGUAAACCGCUUUUGUUCAAGGGCAAGGCACGGUUUCGGCCGUGUUGAGUGGAUUGUUCGAAUAAGCACCGGCUAACUACGUGCCAGCAGCCGCGGUAAUACGUAGGGUGCAAGCGUUAUCCGGAUUUAUUGGGCGUAAAGGGCUCGUAGGCGGUUCGUCGCGUCCGGUGUGAAAGUCCAUCGCUUAACGGUGGAUCCGCGCCGGGUACGGGCGGGCUUGAGUGCGGUAGGGGAGACUGGAAUUCCCGGUGUAACGGUGGAAUGUGUAGAUAUCGGGAAGAACACCAAUGGCGAAGGCAGGUCUCUGGGCCGUUACUGACGCUGAGGAGCGAAA
RNAcentral lists this ribosomal RNA (696 nucleotides) under Bifidobacterium pseudolongum. RNAcentral describes it as "bacterial SSU rRNA". It matches the Rfam family "Bacterial small subunit ribosomal RNA", at positions 66 to 758 of the family's 1533-position model. The record is from RNAcentral. Lineage: Bacteria; Bacillati; Actinomycetota; Actinomycetes; Bifidobacteriales; Bifidobacteriaceae.